ACCAUUUGCCUUUGGUUCAGUGGUAGAAUGCUCGCCUGCCAUGCGGGCGCCCCGGGUUUGAUUCCCGGCCGAUGGUU
This 77-nucleotide transfer RNA is filed under the name Cordylochernes scorpioides. RNAcentral's name for it is "tRNA-Gly". The stretch from base 13 to 68 matches the Rfam family "tRNA", at positions 8 to 63 of the family's 71-position model. From Rfam's summary of the family: Transfer RNA (tRNA) molecules are approximately 80 nucleotides in length. The record is from RNAcentral. Lineage: Eukaryota; Metazoa; Arthropoda; Arachnida; Pseudoscorpiones; Chernetidae.